UUGGAGAAGUUUGAUCCUGGCUCAGGAUGAACGCCGGCGGUGUGCCUAAUACAUGCAAGUCGAACGCGUUGGCCCAAUUGAUUGAUGGUGCUUGCACCUGAUUGAUUUUGGUCGCCAACGAGUGGCGGACGGGUGAGUAACACGUAGGUAACCUGCCCAGAAGCGGGGGACAACAUUUGGAAACAGAUGCUAAUACCGCAUAACAGCGUUGUUCGCAUGAACAACGCUUAAAAGAUGGCUUCUCGCUAUCACUUCUGGAUGGACCUGCGGUGCAUUAGCUUGUUGGUGGGGUAACGGCCUACCAAGGCGAUGAUGCAUAGCCGAGUUGAGAGACUGAUCGGCCACAAUGGGACUGAGACACGGCCCAUACUCCUACGGGAGGCAGCAGUAGGGAAUCUUCCACAAUGGGCGCAAGCCUGAUGGAGCAACACCGCGUGAGUGAAGAAGGGUUUCGGCUCGUAAAGCUCUGUUGUUAAAGAAGAACACGUAUGAGAGUAACUGUUCAUACGUUGACGGUAUUUAACCAGAAAGUCACGGCUAACUACGUGCCAGCAGCCGCGGUAAUAA
This 567-nucleotide ribosomal RNA is filed under the name Limosilactobacillus fermentum. RNAcentral's name for it is "bacterial SSU rRNA". It matches the Rfam family "Bacterial small subunit ribosomal RNA", at positions 1 to 526 of the family's 1533-position model. The record is from RNAcentral. Lineage: Bacteria; Bacillati; Bacillota; Bacilli; Lactobacillales; Lactobacillaceae.